This 497-nucleotide ribosomal RNA is filed under the name uncultured bacterium. Its description in RNAcentral is "partial 16S ribosomal RNA". It matches the Rfam family "Bacterial small subunit ribosomal RNA", at positions 28 to 507 of the family's 1533-position model. The record is from RNAcentral.
GAUGAACGCUGGCGGCGUGCCUAAUACAUGCAAGUCGAGCGAACGGACGAGAAGCUUGCUUCUCUGAUGUUAGCGGCGGACGGGUGAGUAACACGUGGAUAACCUACCUAUAAGACUGGGAUAACUUCGGGAAACCGGAGCUAAUACCGGAUAAUAUUUUGAACCGCAUGGUCCAAAAGUGAAAGACGGUCUUGCUGCCACUUAUAGAUGGAUCCGCGCUGCAUUAGCUAGUUGGUAAGGUAACGGCUUACCAAGGCAACGAUGCAUAGCCGACCUGAGAGGGUGAUCGGCCACACUGGAACUGAGACACGGUCCAGACUCCUACGGGAGGCAGCAGUAGGGAAUCUUCCGCAAUGGGCGAAAGCCUGACGGAGCAACGCCGCGUGAGUGAUGAAGGUCUUCGGAUCGUAAAACUCUGUUAUUAGGGAAGAACAUAUGUGUAAGUAACUGUGCACAUCUUGACGGUACCUAAUCAGAAAGCCACGGCUAACUACGUG